Molecule: ribosomal RNA, 523 nt
Filed under: uncultured bacterium
Lineage: Bacteria
Description: bacterial SSU rRNA
Rfam family: Bacterial small subunit ribosomal RNA
Source: RNAcentral
AGAGUUUGAUCAUGGCUCAGGAUGAACGCUAGCGGCAGGCCUAAUACAUGCAAGUCGAACGGUAAGUAUUUUAGCAAUAGGAUACGAGAGUGACGUACGGGUGCGUAACACGUAUGCAACCUACCCAAAACAGGAGGAUAGCUCAGGGAAACUUGGAUUAACCCUCCAUAAGAUCGUGCCUUGGCAUCAGGGAGCGAUAAAAACCGCGAGGUGGUUUUGGAUGGGCAUGCGUAUGAUUAGUUAGUUGGUAGUGUAACGGACUACCAAGACGAUGAUCAUUAGGGGACCUGAGAGGGUGAUCCCCCACACUGGCACUGAGAUACGGGCCAGACUCCUACGGGAGGCAGCAGUAGGGAAUAUUGGUCAAUGGAUGGAAGUCUGAACCAGCCAUGCCGCGUGCAGGAAGACGGCCUUCUGGGUUGUAAACUGCUUUUGCCAGGGGAUAAAAGGCCCAUGCGUGGGACAUUGAAGGUACCUGGUGAAUAAGCCACGGCUAACUACGUGCCAGCCGCCGCGGUAAUAC